AUUGAACGCUGGCGGCAUGCCUUACACAUGCAAGUCGAACGGCAGCACGGGGCAACCUGGUGGCGAGUGGCGAACGGGUGAGUAAUGCAUCGGAACGCACCUUUCAGUGGGGGAUAACGUAGCGAAAGUUACGCUAAUACCGCAUAUUCUGUGAGCAGGAAAGCAGGGGAUCGCAAGACCUUGCGCUGAUUGAGCGGCCGAUGUCAGAUUAGCCAGUUGGUGAGGUAAAGGCUCACCAAGGCGACGAUCUGUAGCGGGUCUGAGAGGAUGAUCCGCCACACUGGAACUGAGACACGGUCCAGACUCCUACGGGAGGCAGCAGUGGGGAAUUUUGGACAAUGGGGGCAACCCUGAUCCAGCCAUGCCGCGUGAGUGAAGAGGGCCUUCGGGUUGUAAAGCUCUUUCGGCCGGGAAGAAAUCGCACGGGCUAAUACCCUGUGUGGAUGACGGUACCGGAAUAAGAAGCACCGGCUAACUACGUGCCAGCAGCCGCCGUAA
This 498-nucleotide ribosomal RNA is filed under the name uncultured bacterium. RNAcentral's name for it is "partial 16S ribosomal RNA". It matches the Rfam family "Bacterial small subunit ribosomal RNA", at positions 30 to 523 of the family's 1533-position model. The record is from RNAcentral.